ACGCUGGCGGCGUGCUAAUACAUGCAAGUCGAACGAGAGCGACCGGUGCUUGCACUGGUCAAUCUAGUGGCGAACGGGUGAGUAACACGUGGGUAACCUGCCCAUCAGAGGGGGAUAACAUUCGGAAACGGAUGCUAAAACCGCAUAGGUUCUUGAGUCGCAUGACUCAGGAAGGAAAAGAGGCUUCGGCUUCUGCUGAUGGAUGGACCCGCGGUGCAUUAGCUAGUUGGUGAGGUAACGGCUCACCAAGGCCGUGAUGCAUAGCCGACCUGAGAGGGUGAUCGGCCACAUUGGGACUGAGACACGGCCCAAACUCCUACGGGAGGCAGCAGUAGGGAAUCUUCCGCAAUGGACGCAAGUCUGACGGAGCAACGCCGCGUGAGUGAAGAAGGAUUUCGGUUCGUAAAACUCUGUUGUUAGAGAAGAACAGCGCAUAGAGUAACUGUUAUGCGUGUGACGGUAUCUAACCAGAAAGCCACGGCUAACUACGUGCCAGCAGCCGCGGUAAUACGUAGGUGGCAAGCGUUGUCCGGAUUUAUUGGGCGUAAAGCGAGCGCAGGCGGUCAAUUAAGUCUGAUGUGAAAGCCCCCGGCUCAACCGGGGAGGGUCAUUGGAAACUGGUUGACUUGAGUGCAGAAGAGGAGAGUGGAAUUCCAUGUGUAGCGGUGAAAUGCGUAGAUAUAUGGAGGAACACCAGUGGCGAAGGCGACUCUCUGGUCUGUAACUGACGCUGAGGCUCGAAAGCGUGGGUAGCAAACAGGAUUAGAUACCCUGGUAGUCCACGCCGUAAACGAUGAGUGCUAAGUGUUGGAGGGUUUCCGCCCUUCAGUGCUGCAGUUAACGCAUUAAGCACUCC
Molecule: ribosomal RNA, 856 nt
Filed under: uncultured Granulicatella sp.
Lineage: Bacteria; Bacillati; Bacillota; Bacilli; Lactobacillales; Carnobacteriaceae
Description: bacterial SSU rRNA
Rfam family: Bacterial small subunit ribosomal RNA
Source: RNAcentral